CUUCCCUCGGAACAAGCAUCUGAAAUAAAUAAUUAACAUAAAAAGUACCUCCCUUUUUCCAGGUAAAAGAGACCCAACCAGCCCAGGGACCUCAGUUCUCUUUCUUGUUCCAACAGAAACGGAUGGCAUGUGGAUGGUGAGGCACAUGGGUUGCUGACAGGGGAAUCCGGUCUGAUAGCCUCCCGGGUGGAGAGCUGAAUGGC
Non-coding RNA from Pelobates cultripes (western spadefoot toad), 203 nucleotides. Lineage: Eukaryota; Metazoa; Chordata; Amphibia; Anura; Pelobatidae. The record is from the annotation of a GenBank genome assembly.